This 81-nucleotide transfer RNA is filed under the name Echinostoma caproni. It matches the Rfam family "tRNA". Rfam says of the family: Transfer RNA (tRNA) molecules are approximately 80 nucleotides in length. Their secondary structure includes four short double-helical elements and three loops (D, anti-codon, and T loops). The record is from Rfam by way of RNAcentral. Lineage: Eukaryota; Metazoa; Platyhelminthes; Trematoda; Plagiorchiida; Echinostomatidae.
GGCCUCGUAGCUCAGCUGGUAGAGGAUGCGAGUACAAACCGUAGUUGCCCUCUAUGCGUGGGUUCGAACCCACCGAGGCUA